RNAcentral lists this long non-coding RNA (20217 nucleotides) under Malus domestica (apple). Its description in RNAcentral is "long non-coding RNA (MDOM_LNC010006)". Lineage: Eukaryota; Viridiplantae; Streptophyta; Magnoliopsida; Rosales; Rosaceae. The record is from RNAcentral.
CCGUCAGGCACGUGCCGACCGGGAUCACGCCGCGCGGCGUCGACGAACGGGUCACGUAACUAUCCUUGAACCAGAACAGCUUCCCCUGUUUCAAGACGAACCAGCGGCGCCGCCACGUCUUGAUGUAAUCGCCUUGUUUGGUCAGCCAGGUGGCGCGUUCAGGGUUGGACCAGAACUCGAUUCCGGUGUAGUCUUCCGGGCUCGGUUCUUGGCCCGUAGCCGCCCGCCACAGGCCCUCCAUUUUUUUACUUGGGCGGCGCGUGAGGUGGGUUUGUGUGGGCAGAGUUGAGGAAUUGGUCGGAAGUGAGACCGCGGAGGGAGAGAAAGGUUUUAUGUUUUUCUGUCCGGAAACAGAAACCGGUUUUUUGUUUGUUUAAUUUCGCAAACCGAGACGGCCGGUUGAUAUCAAACGCUGUUCUGUCCCGUUGUGACCGCGGUUCAAUUUGCUUAGGUGGCUUUGAAGCUGUGUACGUGGUAACAUGUGUGCUACUAGAAAGGUCGCAUGUUACAAGAACACUAAUCUACACUAAAUAAAUCGAAGGGGCUGUUUGAAUUCGAAAUACAGUAAGUUGAAGAUAAAGACUUUAACUACUAGAAUGAUUGAUUACUUUCACUCGUAAUCUAAAUCUUUUAUUUUCGUAAUGUAAAGUUUUGAAACACAUUAAUGCAUAAAUGAAUUUUAUUGUGAGUACAUGCGAAGAUAAAAGUAAAUGAGAGCAUUGAUCCCUUGCAACACAAUAGAAUGUUUGGUUCAUGAAAUUAACAGUUCUUUAAAGUUGGUAUAUGAGUUACCGACUACUAUUACAUUUUAGAGAUAUUUUUGUUCAUUUGUAACUGAAAUUUUUUAGGCAUGGAUGACGAAAACGUUAUAUAUUUGUUGAGUUCAAUGCCUAAUUAUUGAUGACACAUUGUGUGGCUUAGCUCAAUCUUCUCUUCCCUUAGAGUAGAACAUCCUCUACCCCGCUAAGGUAGAAUGUCAUUGAACGUGCUUAAUUUAAAAAAUUUUAUGUACAAGUUGGCAAUAAAACUGAUGUUCCGCAUUUUGUCAAGAGAAUUGUUAUUAGCACUCCAAAAUUAGCAUAAUACACUCCUCCUAAGUGUAAUUUUUUUACUAAUUAUAAAAAAUUUGGAGUGAAAAAUGAGAUCUUUAGAAUGCCAAUAACAAUUCUCUUUGUCAAAUUUAGAUAUCAAUUUCAUUGGACUUCUAAUUCAAAUACCAAAACAACAAUAUCAUCACAAUUCAAGACCAAUACUCCAUUUUUCUUUUAUAAAAGUGAAGAGUUUCAAUAUUAAUGCAUUAAGUCUCAUUCUCAUGGUUGUUGAACUUCUAGAAUUUUGGUUUUUUCUUUGUGGAAAUUCAGGGUGAAACGAAAGGGAUAUGUGAGGAAAAAGCUUCGAAGGAGAUAGUUGAAUUGAUGGUGAUUGGGAGAAGUAAUGCUGCAUUAGUGUAAUAGUAUUAGUAGAUUUGGCCAAACCUUUUCAUUUCAAGUUUCAUGUGUCUUCUAUGUUUGGGUGGAAUGAGUCCAAUGCAUAUUUCUUAAUUCUUUAAAUCUUUAUGUUUGUUACAUUCGUAGAAUACAGCUGAUACAUCUGUAGAAUAUUGUUGUUCGAUACCAUGUUCAUGACACAAGGUAGAGAAUGAUUGAUUCACAUAUUUAGUACCCUUGUCACUUUGGAAGACCAUAACGAUAGAAUAAAUAUGUUACAAACCAUGGCAACAAAGUAUUUAAAGUGAAGAAAAAAGUAAAAACCUCAUAGAUGGUGGAAGAAAGAGACAAAUGAUAAAGCUCAUCUUUACUGGAGGUCUGAAAAGUAACACGCUGGUAAGUAAGUCAUAAGUUUGAUAAAUGUGAGGAGCAAGGACAAAGAAGAUUAAAUUAUCUUGGGUGAAACGAGCAACAACAAAAAAAAAUACAAAGGCCGGGAAGAAAAAAGACAAUGCAAAGAUGAAAGUUAAGAAUCAAGAGAAAGAGGAAGGGUGCCGAUGUGGGUAAUGUACAUAGUAUUGCCUACCCAAAUAAACAUUAGAAGGAGAAGGACCCGCAUAGCGCUCCAUAGAGCAACCAAAGACGAUCGACUCGUCAUGGGUAAAUCGACUCGGCUAAAAGUCCGAACUACAAUCCUGACAAAUAAGGCAGUUUGGCAAAUGGGUAACACCUGCCAACGUGGGUCAGGCUGUUGUUCAAACUGGGUUACAGCAAAGGGUGCAGACCGAUCAGACCCACAGUACCUGUGCCGACCACCACCACUAGAAUUAAAUUAUUGACAAGUGAAAUCCAAAAAGUACCAAAAAAUGAUGUAAAGAUUUUUACUUUAUAAGAACGAGUGGUUCUCAUGUGUUGUAGAUUUGUAACGCGCUUUUAUUUCUACAUAAGUCAUUAGUAAGGAUAGUUUAUCGUGAUUUUCUGUUGUAAUUUGUUAUUGGACAAUUAUAAGACAGUUAGGAUAGUUAUAGGUCUGUUUUGAUGAGUAGUCAAAUGUAUAGCUAUCUGUAUAAAUAUCAAAUGUACUCUAAUUAUUUUCUAAUGAAAAACAUUUCUCAAUAUGGUAUAUUUUGCCUCUGUCUCACGACCGACUUCAAUCCUCUUCGAUCCUCUUCCUUCUUGCAUCUUUCCUCUCACGCUUCCAUUCUUCUUCUCUCUGUAACCCUAAUUUCUCAGCAAUGUCGUCUGCUUUUCCUCCAUCCUCUGAUUCCGCACCACCAGUUCAUCCCUCUUCGGUGACAAAUCUAUGUCCUAAUUCCUCUGGCACCGCCUCUACAACUUCAAUUACAAUUCAGAAUAUCGGCUUAAUGGUUCCGAUCAAACUCACUACCACCAACUAUCUCACAUGGAGUGCAUUGUUUGCUUCAAUUUUUCGAUGCUAUAUUCUUACCAGCAUUGUUGAUGGCUCUAUUGAAGCUCCACCUAAAGUCAUUAGAGAUUCAUCUGGUAAUCCGAUCUUGAAUCCUGAGUACAUUGCUUGGUUUGAGAAUGAUCAAAAUAUUCUCAUCUAGAUCAACUCAACUCUCUCUGAAUCGUUGAUUCCAUAUAAUGUUGGUGUAAAUUCAUCCCGAGAGCUAUGGUUUAAGCUUGAAUCGCGCAUUGCAGCGGCCUCUUAGUCUCACAUUCAUGACCUUCGAUCUCGCAUUCGCAACAUUUACAAAGGAGAAUCCACCGCUGUUGAUUAUCUUCAACAAAUUAAAGAGAUCUUUGAUGCUCUUACCAUAGCCGGAGCUCCGGUUGAGGACUCUGAACUGAUUCUGUUACACUCCAUGGCCUGCCAUCCGAGUAUGAUUCCUUUAUUGAUGCGAUUCAAUUCCGUCUCGGUUCUACAACAAUUGAUGAGCUUCAUGGCUUGCUUCUGAGCAAAGAAAUUCAACUUACCAAUCGCAAGAAAGCUACUACUUCCUCUGGUGUUUUUCAGGCUUUCAAUUUGAAUCUUGGAUCAUCAUCUAGAAUUUUACCUACACCGAUUUCCAAUUCUGGUUUUCACGUCUUUCUUGCUAAGAAUUCAUCUCAUUUCAAUCAGUAUCAAGGCCGUCCUCAAGAUCGAAAUCAAUUAAACCCUAGGUUUUCUCAGAAUAAGGGAGAUUUAUCUGGCUAUCGUGGCAACACUCAGCGUCCCGCUACAAUCAAAGGAAUAAUCGUGGAGGUCGCUCAGGUUCCAAUUUCUCUGGGAAAAGAACCACUUGUCAAAUAUGUCGCCAGUAUGAACAUGAAGCAUCUGAAUGCCCUCAUCGUAUGAAUCCUCAGUUUGGCAAUCGAAAUUCUUAGAUGACUAUGUGUGCUAAUCCUUCACAGAAUGCCUCUCCUUCAUGACUUAUUGAUUCAUGAGCUAGCUCACUAUGACAAGUUCUUUGGCGAAUCUCUAGUAUCCAGAACCCUACACAGGACCUGAGCAAGUCUACAUUGGUGAUGACAAAGGUUUGCCUAUCUCUAAUUCUGGUUCUUCAUACAUACAUACUCCUCAUCAUCGUUUUGCCUUGAAUAAUGUGUUACAUGUUCCUUAUUUAAAGCAAGAUUUACUCUCUGCAAAUCAAUUUACACUUGAUAAUGGGUGCUCAAUUCAUCUAUAUCAUUUUCACUUCACUAUGAAGAAUCUUACUUCUGAGAUUACGCUUUUUAAGGGACCUGUGCAAAAUGGUUUUUAUCCAUUCUCUACAUCUGUCAAUGCUAGUUCACAUAAGCUUUUUGCAGCAACUGUCAAAGCUUCCCCAGGGAUUUGGCAUCAAAGAUUGGGCCAUCCCUCUUUCAAAGUUUUACAUAAACUUGUUUCUCAGUCUAGUGUUCUUCUUACUACUAGUAUGAAUAAAACUUUUUGUCCUAAUUAUGCCUUGGGUAAAAGUUCAAAACUGCCAUUUGUAUCAGCUUCUAGUGUUACAACUAGACCAUUGGAACUUUUACACACAUAUUUUUGGGGUCCAGCUCCACUUCUCUCUGUAUCUGGUUAUAGGUAUUAUCUUUUUUAUAGUGGAUGAUUUCACUCGAUAUAGAUGGUUCUUUCCUAUCAAAUGUAAAUCUAAGGUAUUCAAACCCUUUGUUGAAUUCAAAGCUCUUGCUGAAUCUUUGUUAAAUACUAAGGUUGUUACUCUGCGAUCUGAUUUUGGAGGUGAACUUCUUAGUUCUGUGUUCACUCAAUAUCUUAAAGACAAUGGUAUUCAUCAUCAACUAUCUUGCCCUCACACACCUGAACAAAAUGGUUGUGUAGAGCGCAAACAUAGACAUAUAGUGGAAAUUACUCGAACGCUUUUAGCUGCUUCUAAUGUUCCUUAUAUUUACUGGGUUGAAGCAUUCUCCACAGCAGUUUAUCUUAUAAACAGAUUGCCUACCAUGGCCAGAUCCUGUCCUUGGGAACAACUCUUUAGCAAGUCUCUAGAUUAUACAACACUUAAAGUGUUUGGGUGAAUGUGUUUUCCUUGGUUAAAACCAUAUGCAGCUUCUAAAGUAGAACCUAAAAGUAAGCCGUGUGUCUUUCUUGGCUAUAGUCUCAAUCAUAAGGGCUAUAGAUGUCUUGACAUUCAAUCCAAAAAAGUCUAUAUCUCGAGGCAUGUCAUAUUUGAUGAACUGACCUUCCCAUUUCUUCAAAUCUCUCAGGUUUCACCUUCUUUAUCCUCAGCCCCUACUCAUUCUUCUCAAAUACCUUCAACCCUCACCUUCACCAAGCUCACUGCAGCACCUUACCCUUCUCCACCUAUCAACCAAAUUGUACCUUCCCUUAACCAAUCAUCUUCACCUCAACACACUACCUCUCCCAACUCCAUCUCUACUCAUUCCUCACCUAUACAACCACCCCUACCUCAAAACAUUUACCCUAUGCAAACAAGAUCUAAAUCAAGCAUUUUUAAACCUAAAGCCUAUUCAACCACUAAACACCCUAUUCCCUCUUAUAUUUCUCCAGAUUAUCUUCCUAGUACUUAUCUCCAAGCCUUAAAACACCCUCACUGGAGACAGGCCAUGCAGGAGGAAUUUAAUGCAUUGGUUAACACAAGAACUUGGUCUCUUGUUCCUUCUCACCCAUCUUAAAAUCUUGUUAGAUGUAAAUGGGUGUUCCGAAUUAAAAGAAAAGUUGAUGGCACUAUUGAUAUAUAUAAGGCUCGUUUAGUAGCCAAGGGUUUCCAUCAACAGGAAGGCUUAGACUACAGAGAAACUUUCAGUCCUGUGGCAAAACCAGUGACCAUAAGGCUUCCUCUCACACUUGCAUCUCAGUAUGAUUGGUUUCUUAAUCAGUUAGAUGUUAGUAAUGCCUUUUUGCAUGGAACUUUAUCUAAGAAUGUGUUUAUGCAGCAACCAUCCGGUUUUCAAGACCCUACUAAGCCUAAUCAUGUCUACAAGUUACACAAGAGUCUUUAUGGACUCAAGCAAGCUCCUAGAGCUUGGCAUGAAAGGCUUCAUGAUGUACUUAAAUCUAUGGGAUUCCAUGGCUCACAGAAUGAUCACUCUCUCUUUGUCAAGAAUGAUCAUUCUCUGGUGUUUAUCCUUGUCUAUGUUGAUGACAUCUUGGUCACAGGCCCAUCUUCACAAGCUUGCAAUGACACAAUAGCUCAACUGAGUGCUCUUUUUCCAAUCAAGGAUCUGGGUUCUCUUCAUUUUUUCCUUGGCAUUGAGGUCAAAAGGUCAUCUUCUGGUAUUUUUAUAUCACAAACCAAAUAUAUCCUUGACUUGCUUACUAAGACAAACAUGGCAGGUGCAAAACCAUGUGCUACACAUCUCAGUACAUCUAAACUGGAUCAUUCCUCUCCCAUGCUUUCUAAUCCAAAAGAGUACAUAUCCAUUGUAGAAGGUUUGCAAUACCUUACUUGGUCCAGACCAGAUAUUUCCUUUGCUGUUAACUUGGUCUGUCAGUUCAUGCAUCAACCAAGACAAUCUCAUUUGCAGGCAGUUAAAAGAAUAUUGAGAUAUUUGAAGGGCACACUUGAUCUAGGUCUCUGGUUUCCAAAAACUUCAAGUCCUCUCACUAUUAAUGCCUUCUCAAAUGCUGAUUGGGCAGGGUAUGCCUUGGACAGAAUAUCAACAAGAUGUUUUUGCAUUUUUUAGGGCAACUCUCUUAUUAGUUGGAGUGCUAAAAAGCAAACAACCUAGCUCGAUCAUCCACUGAAGCAAAGUAUCGAUCUCUAGCUAACAUUGCUGCUGAGAUUUCCUAGCUUUGCAAAUUACUUGUUGAUGUUAGUGCGUCUCUACCUUGUCUAAAUUGUGGUGUGAUAACAUUUAUGCGAUUUCCUUAGCCAAGAAUCCUUUAUUUCAUGCACAGACCAAACAUGUGGAGAUUGACUACCAUUAUAUAAGGGAAAAAGUUCUCCUCUAAUGUUGUCACUGAUCAGUUUGUGUGUUCACAUGAUCAAAUUGUAGAUAUCUGCACUAAAUCUAUAUCCAAGUCUUGUUUUCUGUUGCUCAGAGACAAACUAUCACUUCGGUUGCCUACGUUCAGUUUGAAGGGGCAUAUUAAGGAUAGUUUACCUUGAUUUUCUGUUGUAAUUUGUUAUUGGACAGUUAUAGGACAGUUAUAGGUCUGUUUUGAUGAGUUGUCAAAUGUAUAGCUCUCUGUAUAAAUACUAUAUGUACUCUAAUUAUUUUCCAAUGAAAAACAGUUCUCAAUAGUCAUCACCUUUUAAGUCUACGCGGUGAAGACCAGAUUCUUACGCGUCUUUGAUUAGUUGAAAUACAUUCUCUCAACUGUGUCACAAAAUUUCCAUUUUCAAAGAAGAGAUCGAUCAUGGCGCUGGCGGUGGUAGGUGGAGCCGCUCUUUCGGGUUUCUUCCAGCAAGUAUUUGUGAAGUUGGAUUUUCAGGAGGUCAAGAACUUCAUCAGAGGAAAGAAACUGACUGAUGGGUUGCUGAAGAAGUUGAGAAUCAAGUUGACGUCUGUCAGUGUUGUUUAUGAUGAUGCCGAGCAAAAGCAAUUACGUAACCCACAUGUGAAGCUGUGGAUGCACGAGCUUAAAAAGGCAGUCCUUGAUGCUGAAGACCUGAUCAAGAUAGAAGUGUUAAUCAGCUCAUUACCACGGGUCAACGCUUGUGAUAUAUUGCAAUCCAUCACGAGCAUUGUGCUUUUUUAGUAAUCUGGAUGUGAUAAAAAUCUUAGUUUCUACUACAGACUAUGCAUGUUGUCAAAUGUAAGAUAAACACAUAUUGUGUCCGUGGUAGAUUGAGAUCUAACACCACAUUCAGUACCACAUCGAGGGGAUGGAUUUGAUGGAUUAUCAGCUUCUUCAUCCACCUAGGAGCGAGCCCUUUUUCCGCGAAGAUGUUUUCCACAGUUUACGACAAGAUUAGAUUGUAUUGUUGCAUAAGAGUCUAAAAUUGCCACUCCAUCAUUGGUGCGUUUUAUUGAAGAAUCCGCUUUUAGUAUUUCCUCCGCAACGUUAAGCAGGAAGUGAUUUCUUCCAAACAAACUGUACAACUGCUCAACACUGGGGACAGAGUACACUUGAACAUUUCUCCUGUGAUCUCUUUAACCACUCUGAGAAGCAUCUGUUGCAGAAAUUAUGGAAGCAAGGAGCAAGGGUAACAACAUCACAGCAUAUGUUCAAGCAAAUGCAGGAUUUUGCAUGCUCGGCAUCCAUAGAAAUCUUUAACUGCUGCUGACAAUUUUCAGGACCACGCAAUACAUUGAACCUGUAGCUAAUAUCCUUCCUUAUUGGGACCUGAAGUAAUUUCACGCAACUGAUAACAAUAGUGUCUUCAGCUUGGAUUACAUUCCCGUCAACAACCAUUGCAUUUGAACUUUAAUUUUGUAUUGUGGCAGAUGAGUGGUCUGAAUUCCUUGUUAUCUUGCACCAUUUGCAUUUGCGGAUAGAAGAGAACAAGAUCUCUGAGCAAAGUACAAUCUCAUCUGAACUAAUCUGAACAUCCAGAUAUCUCGAGUCUGAUGGAACAAGCUUGGCCCAGAAUUCUUCACUGGGUUUUGUACCUGAGCUCUCUCCAACCUCUGCCAUCCCUUGAAUAUAUUCACAAAGGACUCAGGAACUUUAAUUUAGAUCUCAAAGAUACGUAAUCGCCCAUCGUUAUAUUCAUUAAAAAAGAAACAAAUACAAAUAUAUUCAACUAUUUAUGAGCAACAGCAAUUUUAAUUUUUAAUCAUUAUACAAAAUCUUUACCGCUAAUUAGAUAAUUCAUCCAAGUGUGAAAAGAAAACAGAUUUGCACUCAAACAAGACAGAUUCAUCAAAUAUGCUAUAUGAACGGCCCAACCAUUUCAACACUGAUAAACAGAUCAACUUCAUGUUUCAGACAUCCUACAACUACAUAAAUUGGAUCGUACAAAUUCCAACUAAACGUCAAAAGCUCUUAACUCAGAGCAUAACCACAUACUAGUAAAAUUCAUGGAAGAUAGUAAGUGCCAAUUAACAAGAGCAAAAAAAGGCUUGAGGAGAAGGGGUCCCCAGUAGAGGCAUCAGUUCUGGCCGGAAAUGAUACACACGGAACAAAUUAUGCAUAUGUAUUUCACAUUUACUUUAUGUUCAUAGUUUGAACCUCCGUUUAUGCAAUCUCACGCAAUUCUUACCGGAAAACAAGUAGAGAAACCUAUGAAAAAUUGAUAGGUUUCACUUGGGAAUUGUUUUAAAAACCCUAACAAGAAAACAUGAAAAGUUUGCGACUUUGGCCAAUAAACAAUCAAAGGGGAAAAUAAGUCGCAACUUUCACAGGAUUCUUACAUGAAGGAUUAUUUAUUGAGUUAUAUAUUAGUUUGGGAAUAACUGGCAGGUUUCAGUUUGGAAAACUGUAAACAAUAGCCAAAAUUUAACACCUAAUAAUGGAAAAUGAAAGAAAGUUUGCAACUUUAGCCAAAGUUGCAAACUUGACAGGUUUUAGUAUUAGUUUUAGCCCAAAGUGUGUCAACAAUUGACAGAUUUUACUUUUACUAGCGAAAUCUGUAACAAAUAGCCAAAAUUUAACCCCUGAUGAUGAAAAUGAAAAUAAUUUUUUUGCAACUUUAGUCAAAGUUUGAUCCUUUAACCCCUCCAAGUAGAAUUUGAACCAAUUCGAGCAAUAAUUAAACCCAUAAUUCUAGAGAAUGUCAUAGUGAACAAGAUUUACCAAAAUUUCCCGAAUUUAACACAAAUUUUCCAGGCAUAACAGGAAAUUAUAAAUACCAAUAAACAAGAAAAAAAUGAUGAGAAAAAAGAAAUACCUGUUGAGAGGAAAAGAAAGGAUGGAAGAUCAGAUGGGUCAGAGGCCGAAGAAGUUAUUUUCAAAGAAGAAGGAGAUGAUAAAACUUGUUCAGCAAACUGAGUACGGAAGAAUGCUCUCUGAUUAAUAAACAAACAAAAUUUAGAAUCAGAGAGAGAUGGAGGGAAGUGAAGAGUGAUGGGCUUGUUAAGACUGGGCCAGCCAAUGCUUUCUUGUAGUGGGCUGGCUAUAAGGUUUGCCCUUGACAAGUUUCGAGCUCUUCUACCUGCGUAUAUAGGUUGUGCGCACAGGCUGCAUAUGAUUUAGACUAAAAAAUCAGCGUUAUAUUAAAAUUGGACUCAAUACAUGGAGUGACUCGACUAACAUGAAUGACGACAUUAUAACCGGAUUCGAACAUUAUAUUAACAAAGUAAUUGUGACACAUGCGCACAACCCAUAUGCGCAGGGGAGAAAUUUUGGACAAGUUUCUACUUGCACUCAUGCUUUAGAAACAUUAUUAGCACUCUUUUUCUCAUUGUGCACUCUCCUAUUUAGUUGUGUUUUUAAAUUCUUUUUUAAUUCAUUCAAUCUGAAAUUCACAUAUAAACAAAGUAUGCAAUUGGAGAAGAAAAAAGUUUUGAAUGUACUUCCCCAAAGGUUUUUCCUAUCACACUAAAUUUCAUCAUCUUUCCUUAUGAACCGUUUAAGAAAAUUAUCAACCAAUAUUGUGCUGUACUGUGUAUUCUCUUCACUUCUUCUAAGUGAGAAGUUUUAAGGUUAACUAACUCUUUAAGUAAAAUAUUAUGUAUAAAAGACAAAAAUGAUCUUAGCCAGACGUCUGGCAAGAAGAUUUUAUGAGACAAAGAAAUCUGAUACGUUAAUCCAAUCUAACGACUGGAAAAAUAAAGAUGCUUCCAAAUUUUCCAACCCAAAAAUCUUCUUGCCUGACGUCUGGAUUAGUUCUGUAUUGUAACAACCCAUCCCUAAUUUUACGAUUUUAUUAUUUAAAUGAGAGAAUUGAUGAAAAUGCCUCUAGAGGUAAGGACUUUGACUUCGGUUAACCACCGUUUAGAGAGACAUAUGACUUAGUCUUUUGGCGUAUUGGCGUAGUACUCGACGAUACGAACGCGUAGGCAUAAGCGGAAUCAAAUUUGGAGCUACAAUGGAGAUUUUACAGACUAAGAGCAGUUACACCGUGUUGGAGGCCCCCUAGGGCUAUCCACUAUGCUAUCCAUCCAGUGAACAGUAACUUCCCUUAAUGAAUGUUGAGCAAAAAUUGUACAUAAUAUGUAAACAAAUAAUUCACUCGACACAAUUUCACCCUCGUUCAUUUUUCCGAAGACGGUUUUAUUAAUUCGAGUUCGACCCAUUCUAGGCUACGUGCCUAUUAAUUACAACCCUUCUUUUGGAAAGGAAUACCUUUUGAUUCUAAUUUGAAUAAAUCAUAACUUGAGGAUUUGGGUGUUUGUUUGAUUUUGUGACUGCACCUAGGUAGAAUCCUAGAUUGCCUACGUACCCUCAUUGAGAGAUUAAGUCACUCGUAGUUCCUUGGUAUUUGGUACUUGUUCGGAUUUGAUGCCUUUUUUGAUACUUGAUAUGGCUUCAUGCCUUUUGAUACUUGAUACGGCUUCGUGCCUUUGAGAUUUGUUGCGGCUUCGUGCCUUUUGAAAAUUUUUCUUCAGCUUCGUGCCAUUUUGGUAUUUGAUAGCAGGAGUGAAUUUAGUUUAUAUAAAUUAGGGAUUCGUUUCGGUUUCACGGUUGCAUCUAAAAUUUUGAUAUCAGACUGCCUACGUAUCCUUAACGGAAUCAAACCGGCGUAGUUCAUUCAUUAUGAAAUGACUUUGUGCUAUUUGAAGCGGCUUUGUGCCAUUUUGAUUUGGAUUUGGCUUUGUAGAAAUUUUGUAUCAAUUAUAUGCCAACUGAUACGAUGAACAAAUUUACUUUGGAGAUCAUAUCCAUUGACUUCACUUGGAAAAAUAUACCAAUUAAUUGUUAAUCAGUAUAAACCCCCUCUGAUUGGCAACUUUGCUUUAUGAGGUCAACUUGCUUCGUAUUUGAAAGCUUUGCUUCAGAUUUUUAUUCCGCAAGAGUUCUCUACCAAUUUCAUUAAUAGCUCCUUGGUGGCCAUAAUUUAGGCAAGGAGCAGUGGCUUGGCUUUCUUUUUUUUUGCUCUCCACGUGAGCAACCUUAGACUUUAUUCACUUUCUUUUCUUUGAAGACUUUGAACUUCACAAGUUUAAGUAGGACUCCCCAUGCAACUAAGAAAAGAAGACCACCUCCACAUUACUUUUGAUUUGACAAAAGCAACUUUUGUAUUUUAUUUUAUUUCUUUUGGCUGGAUCUCCUCUUCCUUUCAAGUUUUAAACUCAUUUUUUCUCUUCUGCACCUAUUUAAGGUUUUGUACCCAACUUCUUUCUUCUUCUACUUGAAGACUUCGAAUUUUCUAAGUCCAAAUAGGGCUUUCAAGUGGUGAUGUUUGGAGAGGAAAACCAUAUUUUUCCUUUUCAUUUGUUUUGAAUUUGCAUGGAAGACAACUGACCAUUUUUUUUAAGUGAACACAUGCAUGAUUUAGAAGACAAGUUUCUUCCUCUUCUUCUCUACUGCAGCUUUCCUUUGCAGACUUUGCAAUCUCCAUUUUUUCCUUAUCUUUUGAAUCUCUGACACAAAAGACUUUGGGUGGAACUCUUGAACAAUAAGUUUUCUUCCUUUCCCUUUUUCUGGAGUUUUUUUCCUUUACAAGUCAUCUUUUCCAUUUUCUUCUUAUCUUUCAAAUUCUUGACAUAAAGGACUUUGGGUGGAGCUCUUGAACAAUAAGUUUUAUUCCUUUCCCUUUUUUCUGGAGUUCUUUUCCUUUACAAACCAUCUUUUCCAUUUUCUUCUUAUCUUUCGAAUUCUUGACAUAAAGAACUUUGGGUGGAGCUAUUGAACAACAUGUUCCUUCCUUUCCCUUUUUCUGGUAGCAUCUGUCAAUUUACUAACUUUUCCUUUGCAAACCAUCUUUUCCUUUGUAAACCUUCUAGACCAUAAGUCUCAUAGGAAUCCACUCCUUGAAAUAGUACUUUGAAAGCAUGAAAGCUGGACCUUUUUUCAUUGUGGAAAAGACUUGUUUGACUUGUCUUUCUUUUGAGUUUUUGGACUACCCAGUGGAGGUAAUGGUGUCACCCGUUCUUUCUUCUUUCCUUUGCUUUUGGCUUGUAAAUUUUGUCUCCAUACUUUUGAUUAAACUUUGAACCAAUAUUUAACAGUGAGCAGUCUUGCCAACAUAUCACUUUCCUCCAGGUGGGAAAACGGUACACGACAGCUAUAUAUUUUGUAUAGAUUGCUUCCUUCCUGCCUUUUCCAUAGGGACCAAGCUUGGAACUUUGAAGAUGCACUUGCGGACCGACGAGCAUGGAUCACUUAUUGGAACUUCACGGGGUGGUUUAGACCAACCCGAAGAAAUUCAUGGGAUUAAACUGCAACGACACGGAGCGGAGCUCUUGGAUUUGAUCGAAACUUUACAGGGUGGUUUAGACCCCGAAGAAAUUCAUGGGAUUUAAACUGCAGCGGCACGGAGCGGAGCUCUUGGAUUUGAUCGAAAUUUCACAGGGUGGUUUAGACCCCGAAGAAAUUCAUGGGAUUAAACUGCAGCAGCGGAGAGCGGAAGUGGUGAUUCGUUGGCUUUGUUGGACUGCAACUCGAGAAUGCUGGGGAGUGGGAAAAGUUGAAGAAGCAAAGUGCUUCUUUUCUUCCUACAAAGCAGAAGAAGGAAACAACCCAAAAAAUUAAAUGAGAUGGUUUUAUACCUUCAAAUGUUGUGUAGCUUUUCCUGCCUUUUGUUCUUGCGUGUAGCUCUUGAUUUCUUCUUCUUCUUUUUUUUUCCUUUGUUGUGCCUUUGCUCUCUUGCUUUGCCUCUCUGUUGUCUUCUCUGUGCUUCUCAAUUUCUGCAGUGUCUCCUCUCUUAUUUCCGUUUCCCCUCAAUUUCCACUGCAACUGAUGCCUAUUUAUAGGCAUCAUAGGAAGCCUCUGGAGCCUUUACGUGGGAGAUAGAGGCCAUAUUUUUCGCCACCCUCUCCCACUGACUGUGUAACCUCCCACGUCUCUACAAAAAACCUUCCAUAUCUUGCAGAAAACUUUCCACGUUUUGCAGAAGAUGGGGAGUUUUGCUCCACGUUGUAGGAAGAAACAUGUGUUUUCUUUUCUCCCUUUUAUAUAUAAUAUAUAUAUAUUUUUUUUUUUUGUUCCUGUUUUCUUCUUUGUCAACUUGGAUUUCCAAGUUUAAGACUUCACGUGGGUGGUCCUCUUCUUUUUCCCCUUUUUCUAUUAUUAUUUUUUUAAUGCAUGUAUGGGAUCUGGAAGCAUUCAAAGCAUGCAUGGCACUUGGAUGCGGUGGGUUUUUUUUUUUCAACAAACAGUAACCGCCUUUUGCAUCUCCACCCCUACACUGAAUAGCCCUGACAAUUGGCAAUAAAAUAUUAAUAUUUUAUUUAUUUAUAAAAUAAUACAAAGAUAAUUAAAAAAUGACAAAGCAAAGAGCAGCAUUUGACUCUCUAUCUCUCUCUCUGUUGAAAUGAAGAUCACCAACACCCGCCACCACAAACACAAAGCUUAUCCUCCUCCACCCCCAAGCAAUCCACAAACCCACCACAAACGGCAGAAUCCACCGCAUGUGGCUCCUCUUCUUCUUCACCUUCUUCACCCUUACAUUCACCCUCACUCUCAUCAGCACCACCAUCCCUCAAACCCUCCCCACCUCCUCAUUCACCCCCACCUCCGUACUCCCCCUCCCACCCGCCGUCCUAGACGCACUUCUUCACUACGCCAUUUCAUCAUUAAAUACCUCGUCAGCACCCCACAUGUCCUAGUCGGAACUCACCUCCAUAUCCUCCUCCCUCACCCGCUUCUGAACCUGACAGAAAAAAAAAUUAAAAAAGGCGUCUGACGUCAGAACCACCUUAGGCGCUCGGGUCGGCAUGAAUCCACGGGCCUGGCGCUCGAGCUUGCUCGGGCCCCCUCGCCAGCCAACGCUAGACUUCCUCCCUCGGGCAAUCAGGCCCUGUGCUGAAGCCUGUCCAUCGAGCAAAAGCUCCCGCUAAAGCUGCUCUAACGAAUGUGAAAUGCGAUUUGGUAAUUUUAUGUUUAGAGAUACUUUGUAUUAUUUUGUGAGCCACGUGGGGCCCAUACCCUAUUUCUGCUCUGUCUCGUGUCCCCUCUUUGAGAAGUCUCGGAUCUCUCUCUUCUCUUUCCAUUUUUUUUUCUUCUUUCUUUUUCUUUCUUUUGCCAUCUUUUUCAUUUCACUCUCUCUCUAUUUCCCUCAUACUCUUUUAUUAGGGAGAAUGACAAGUCAUCUAAGUCUGCUACUGUUAAUAAUUCUGUUACUGUAAAUUAACUGAUUGUAUUAGUUGUGAUUAGUUAAGAUAGUUAUAAAGUAGUUAAGGGUAUCUAUGUAAAUAGCCAAAGGCUAUAUAUAUUCCUAGACAAUGUGUAAAGUUCUCAGUCAAGUAAAUACAAUCAAGAAAACUUACUGUUGAAGUUUUCUGUUUCUCAAUCAAUUGGACAUUAGUAAUGCCUUUCUUCAUGGAGACUUAAAGGAGGAUGUCUACAUGCAACAACCCCCUGGUUUUGUUGAUCCCUUACACCCUACAUAUGUGUGUAAGUUGAGGAAAUCGUUGUAUGGCCUCAAACAAGCUCCUCGAGCUUGGUUUGAUAAACUGUUCCAAGCUCUUCACUCUCUUGGAUUCACCCAAUCAUCCUCAGAUGCUUUUUUAUUUGUUCUCAAUGGUCCUCAGUUAGUCAUUGUCCUUGUCUAUGUUGAUGACAUUCUUGUCACCGGACCCUAUCCUCACCUCUGUCAACACUUCAUUCAGCAACUUGGGGCUCAAUUUCCAGUAAAAGACCUUGGUCUUCUUCAUUAUUUAUUGGGAUUAGAAGUACAUCGAUCUUCACAGGGUAUAUUUCUCCAUCAAACAAAGUAUUUAUUGGAUCUUCUCAAGAAAACAAAUAUGGAGGGUGCAAAACCUUGUUGCACUCCCCUUGGCUCUAAGAAAUUAGAUCACAGUGGCCAUUUUCUGUCCAAUCCUACUGAAUAUCGCUCCAUUGUUGGUGGUUUACAAUAUCUUACUUGGACUAGACCCGACCUUGCUUUUGUUGUGAACCAAAUCUGCCAAUUCAUGCAUGCUCCCAGGGAACAACAUCUCCAGGCAGCAAAAAGGGUUCUCAGAUUUCUCAAAGGCUCUAUCUCACAUGGUGUGUGGUUCACUAAAGGUUCUGUCCAUCUUUCUGCCUACUCGGAUGCCGACUGGGCUGGCUGCACAAUUGACAGGAGAUCAACCACUGGUUAUUGUGUAUUUUUGGGUUCCAAUCUUAUCAGCUGGAGUGCCAAGAAACAAAGUACUGUUGCAAGGUCCUCUACAGAGGCUGAAUAUCGCUCCUUAGCUCACACAGCUGCUGAGAUAACUUGGGUUUGCAAGAUUCUCAAAGAUCUGCACUAUCAUUUCUCUACAUUCCCUACUCUUUGGUGUGACAACAUAUCAACAAUAUCUUUAGCAUCUAAUCCUGUCUUUCAUGCUCGAACAAAGCAUGUUGAGAUCGAUUAUCACUAUAUUAAAGAAUUGGUUUUGGCUCAACUUCUCAAAGUCAAGUUCAUCUGCAGUGAAGACCAAUUAGCUGAUCUUCACACCAAGUCUCUGUCUAAAACCAGAUUUAAUUAUCUGUGUUCCAAGCUUCCCAUUGGCCUCAUUUCUGAUCCCCCUUCUCGCUUGAGGGGGUGUAUUAGGGAGAAUGACAAGUCAUCUAAGUCUGCUACUGUUAAUAAUUUUGUUACUGUAAAUUAACUGAUUGUAUUAGUUGUGAUUAGUUAAGAUAGUUAUAAAGUAGUUAGGGGUAUCUAUGUAAAUAGCCAAAGGCUAUAUAUAUUCCUAGGCAAUGUGUAAAGUUCUCAGUCAAGUAAAUACAAUCAAGAAAACUUACUGUUGAAGUUUUCUGUUUCUAUAUCUUUUCUCUUCUUGAUGAACCUCAUCAACCAUAACCACCACCACUUGCCGUCCCUCCGGUGAAUUUCACGAGGACCACCACUGACUGCUGUGACUUGUUCCCCUUUGUAACUCUCUUAACUUAUCUCGUCUAUCUCUCUCUGCAAGUGUAGAGAUGCCAAAACCAGUCACCCUCCACUCCUCCAACGAGCCACCUUACCAGACUACCACUACUCGAUCAACCACCAAACCCCAAUUGAGAUCGCAGCUCCCUGGGCGUGCACGGAUAGGUUAGGUCCGUUUCGAAAUUGAUUUUCUCCAGCGCGACUCCGUCAUCCUCAGCCUAGGUAAGCUUUGAGGACCAUCAUUUCUCUUCCUCUUAAUGGAAUGGUUUGAUUUCUAAGUUCCCAUGUGAAAAGUGAACGUGUUUUGAUGCAGGAAAUCUUGGGGGGGGGGGUUUUCCCCAAAUUUCUAGAGAUUUAAAACCAUAUGCCACUUGCAAGAUGUUUUUCCGGCCAUCUCAAACCGCAAUUUGUCCCCGUGAUGGUAUGAUCAUACUCUCCUCAUUACAAGCUUCACAUAUAUAGAUAGAACACUGAAAAUGGCUAGGUUUUUAGCUAGAAAUUAGCUCUGAAAAUUGGGGGAAAAACCUGAAAAAUCUGCAGAACUCGCAAGGAAGGCGAGUACAGUCGUACUCGCAGACGCAUGGGCGUGCAUGGACGCGUGAGGGUGGUCGGAGCGUGCGGCAACGCGUGGAGGAACCCGAGGUCCCGCCUUAGGUUUCUCGACGUGCCGAACCCGAAUCCGCUGUCCGUUUUCCAAAAUUCGAUCAUUUUAAAAUAGUUAUUUUAUUAACCAUACUUUGUACGCAAAAUAUGUUUAUACAUUAGUACGUUAAAUAUUUACGUUAAUGGUUUCGUUUCUAGGUGAAUCGCAAGGAUCUUCGAAACCCGCGAGGUGGGUUCGACCCUACGACAUGAUCUGUGAGUGGGUCUUUGCUUGAAAUAUUAUAUAUUUAUUUAGUUUCCAAUUAUAUAUUUAAUAACAAAUUUUCUACGUACGCCUAAAUUAUAUUAACGUUUAUAAGAAUUAGCGUAUUGACGAAAUUUACAAAAUUCUGUUAAAUCCUAUGGAAUGCACAGGUAUGCAUACUUUAUGGGAUUUUUAUUUACGGCCAUGAUUAAUAUUUAUUGACUAUUAUUAUGUCAACGCGAAUUAUCGAUUUACCAUUGCAUGACGACUAUAUUUACAAUAUUUGUUAAUCGUGUGUUAUACUGGUGUUUGUACUCGCUCGUGCCAGGGCCAUGCUUUACAUAUACGUUCACAUCGCACCGUACGCUCACUUUGGAUCCAUUGUAGGUGCCAGUCCUGUCCUAGAUUGCAAUAGGCAAUUAGAACUCGUAUGCGAUGUGUAUAACGCCAGUCUUCAUGUGAUUGUAGUACUAGAGCGUAAAUCAUUAUUACACCCAGUCAUGUUCAUGUCAGAAUAUCCUUGCAUGAACUCGUGUGUCAGCAUAUGUCAAUGAGCACUCAAUAUGAUAUGUUUAUUUCUACGAGAUUUGAUGAUUUCUAGAAGUUAUAUGCUUAUUUACGAAUUUUAAUAUCAUUUUAAGUUCUCAAGACGUUGCAGGCUACGGUAAGUAUUUUCAUACUAAACGUAAUAUGUAUAUUCGGAAACUAUACUUAUUUUACAGCGAGGGGUUAUUACAUUUUUAAAAGGUUUUACUAAACUUUAUUUUCAGGUCUACUCACCCUUGUUUUUCGCCCUUCCAGGUUCUAGUAGCUGAGCUUUCGUAUCGACGAGGAUUCUUGGCAAAUCUUAGUACUGAAGAUUACCUAUGAUUGUAUAAUUCUGAAUUCACUCUAUUGUACUUUACUUAUGCUCUAACAUCACGUGUGGAAUGGGUUCAUCAUGGUGCCAUGGAAGUCACUCUUGUGGAUAAGGGAUUAUAGAACUCGUUUGGAAGUGUUUUUAAAAUGACUAAAAACGUUUUUAGUGAAAAUGUUUUUGGUAUCAUGGUGUUCUAUUCUUAUACAAAACCAGUUGUUGAAGAAGUUCGAGGUCCUCCCAAUUUCAAAAUGGUAAUGAAAAGGUGAUUAAAUGACUCAACCGUCAUUGCAAACGUAUGUUAACUUUCAACCUCGAGGAAAUUUUUCAUACUUUCACAAUUACAACAUAAAGGUUGUUUGGUAUCUUUCUUGAAUCUAAUUUUUUUUUUUUUUUUUGAAACUAAUGAGUAUUUUGUAAUUUAGCUACAUUCAUUUUUUUUAAUUAUUAUAUUUAAAUCAAAAAAUUAGAUUCAACUCAAUAUUAACAAACAAACUCUUUAAACUUGGAUUUGGAUGAUUAAAGCUUAAAAUGAGGAUUAAAACCGUUUUGUUAAUGAGGAUUUUUAUGGAGUGAACGAAAUAACAUUUUCAUGGCGACUUUGAUCCAACACAGUUGAUUUCACGGCCUAUCUUCCUCUAAAUUCCCUAAACCAUACAAUCCUUGUGCAACCAACUUCGACCAGAUCCGCUCUGUUAGCACCUUUAUGAAGUUCACACAGUAACACAAAUCUUCUCAAAACUAGUGGUAUAAUUACAAACACGAAGACAACACGACUAAUAAGGUUGAUUCAACUCAAAGACAGAGAAUUUCCUUGUCUCAAGCACAGAAAUUCAAAAACCAUACCGACAAUCUUGAUGGAAAAAACACUUGUACACCAUCCAGUUUCAUGGAAAAUGCAACUCUAUUCAACUCCAAGAAUGCAAAUUCUACGAGCACGGAUAAAUGAACACAGCUAACACAGAAUCAAGACUCAAUUUUCACAAAUUACAACAUCAAAGUUUAAACCUUUUCACAAAAAAUCAUACGAAUUGCCCUCUCAAUCACACAAAAUGUCAUCUACAUUACGAAAAAAGCAACAGAGAAACAAAAUUCGGCCUACAUUGUGCAAAUUCGACAGCAAGAAAACAGUAGAAGCACCGAUUUAUCAAACAAAACAACUAUUACACCAAAUUUAAGGAAAAGAGAAGGAAAAAAAAAACACAAAUUAUAGUCAUACUAUUACUGUACCAUGAAAAUCGAGAGUUUGUGAUCACUGUCGGCUGCUAUCGUAAUCGACGACCUCAGAAUCCGCGAGCGAUCUGGAGUGCUGGACGAUGGACCGUCCGAUCGAGUUGAUCCACUCCUCCUUCUCUUUCUCCGAAUCGGCGAUGAAGUACAUCGUAUCAUGAUUAGUGGUGGAGAGCUCGAAGGCGCAGGGCUUGUGCACCACGUCCUCGGCGCCCUUCACCGUCAGGCACGUGCCGACCGGAAUCACGCCGCGCGGCGUCGACGAACGGGUAACGUAACUGUCCUUGAACCAGAACAGCUUCCCCUGUUUCAAGACGAACCAGCGGCGCCGCCACGUCUUGAUGUAAUCGCCUUGUUUGGUCAGCCAGGUGGCGCGUUCCGGGUUGGACCAGAACUCGAUUCCGGUGUAGUCUUCCGGACUCGGGUCUUGGCCCGUAGCCGCCCGCCACAGGCCCUCCAUUUUUUUUGCUUGGGCGGCGCGUGAGGUGGGUUUGUGUGGGAGGAGUUGAGGUUUUGGUCGGAGGUGAAACCGCGGAGGGAGAGAGAGGUUUUAUGUUUUUCUGACCGGAAACAGAAAUCGGUUUUUUGUUUGUUUAAUUUCGCAAACCGAGACGGCCGGUUGAU